Molecule: ribosomal RNA, 495 nt
Filed under: uncultured bacterium
Lineage: Bacteria
Description: partial 16S ribosomal RNA
Rfam family: Bacterial small subunit ribosomal RNA
Source: RNAcentral
AUGCACGCUGGCGGCGUGCCUAAUCCAUGCAAGUCGAGCGAACAGACGAGGAGCUUGCUCCUCUGACGUUAGCGGCGGACGGGUGAGUAACACGUGGAUAACCUACCUAUAAGACUGGGAUAACUUCGGGAAACCGGAGCUAAUACCGGAUAAUAUAUUGAACCGCAUGGUUCAAUAGUGAAAGACGGUUUUGCUGUCACUUAUAGAUGGAUCCGCGCCGCAUUAGCUAGUUGGUAAGGUAACGGCUUACCAAGGCAACGAUGCGUAGCCGACCUGAGAGGGUGAUCGGCCACACUGGAACUGAGACACGGUCCAGACUCCUACGGGAGGCAGCAGUAGGGAAUCUUCCGCAAUGGGCGAAAGCCUGACGGAGCAACGCCGCGUGAGUGAUGAAGGUCUUCGGAUCGUAAACUCUGUUAUUAGGGAAGAACAAAUGUGUAAGUAACUAUGCACGUCUUGACGGUACCUAAUCAGAAAGCCACGGCUAACUACGUG